Long non-coding RNA from Micropterus salmoides (largemouth bass), 2506 nucleotides. RefSeq lists it as uncharacterized. Lineage: Eukaryota; Metazoa; Chordata; Actinopteri; Centrarchiformes; Centrarchidae. The record is from RefSeq and is a predicted model, not a curated record. The transcript is spliced from 2 exons.
AAAAAAAAGGGAAACCAGGACACUCACCUUAAGCUGGGCUGUCCCCACAACAGGAUGGGUGUUGGUUGACUCAUACAUUUUUUUGCAGUUUACAGACUUCCUACACAAUACAUAAAUUAAGGAUGUUUUUUUUGUUGGUUAUGCUCAAAGUUGACAGUGAGUUUAGGUGUAGUCAGAAAAAUGCAUUUGAUUGACUAAUAGAACCAAAAAUAUGACAUAAAAUCUCAAGCAAAUUCCAUAAUAAUGUAGUCUAAUGUCUUUGCAAUGCCUGCCAGACACUUAUGGAGGACAGAUUAUGAAUAAUCCUUUAAAGUUGUUAUUUGUAAGAUUAUUGCUUUUCUAAGUAGAGUCAUUAAUUUGUAUGACAUAUGAUCAUUGACAUGACUUGUUUCUUUUACCUGUACUUAAUCCUUUUGAUGCACUUUGAGAAAGGAGUAUACAUUUUGUUUUCUUGUCUGGGAGAAAUGUGCUGCCGUUUUCUGUUCAUUAUCCUCUGUGAACACACUAAGACAACCGCAAGCUAUAUAAUCAGGUUCAGGUUGGUUUACCUUCCUGCUUAUCUCCUCUCCAUCUGUCUGCAUGUCUAUCGGCUGUCUGUGUAGGGGCUCAGGUUUCCUAGUUCCCCUCCUCUGAGCUCCCACAGCUCCCUGCACAAGGCUGAACGUGCCCCGGUCACACGCCCUCCUCUCUCUCUGGUGCUGGGAGCCACAUCGACACACGGCUUCCCACACUUCUGUAUGCAGCCUGCUCAGCUGCCCACACAAUAGAAGUGUGUCUACUCUCACAAAGCCUCAGGACGGUUCUCAGGACGAAAGUCAUUUCACAGACAAGCCAUCUGGUUGAGCUGUAGCUCACCGCUGAGACACACAGAGUCAGAAAAUAUAACUUUAAAGCAUUAUUACAGCUUUUGGGGAAUUUAAAAAAAAUGAUUUUCUUUGCUAUUUUGGUAUCUAUUAGUUUUCAGCAGUGAUGAAGAGAGUUUACUGAACAUUAAUCUCAUUAAAGAAAGAACAGAAAUUUGUCCUUAAAGUGUAACUGACUUCCCUUUCCUGUCAGGAUUUUAUGAUGCCAUUAAAACAUUACAAUGAUUUUUAGUUUAACUGUAUGUAAAUGUAAUGUAAUAUUUAGUUUUAUUUUAUUUUCACAUUCCUAGUUUAGCAUCAUUAAAGGGUCUUUGCCUGGAUUCUUUCGCUUAUGUCAAAUUCUAAUCAGUGUUCAGGUCUAAGCAGUGAGAAACAAAAUUUUCCCAUGUCCACUUCAGGAAAAAUAUUUUCCCAGUGACCUUGCUGAUCUGUGGCAUGCAGAUAAAGCAUCCCACCUGUUCUGUGUGACAGGCAUUAAAUUCACUCUAUUGUUCUGAGCUGUGAGCCUCCCGAUUGGCUGAAAAGCAGAGAGAAUGCAAGAUUAGCAGCAUAAAUGCACAGGCGAGACGCAGAUGUCAACAAAGACGUCCUCUGAACCUUCGCAGGCAACAGCAGAACUUACCACCACACAAAGCAAACCUUGAAAUGGCUCUUUAUGCAGACCUCGCUCUUCAAGACAGCGUAAAGGAGCAGCUCUUUAGGUGUAAACUCCACAUGUUGGAGAAGAAAUGCUGCACUGGAGUGGAGAAGCUGAAGGCUCUGAUUGGAGAACACCUGCAGAAUGGGAUCCCUGUUUCAGACAUCCUGGAAAAAACAAAGUGCUUCCUCACCUUAAGAAAAGCCUUGCUGUCACACAACGGCUUCUCCAAAUAUUCAAGGGACAUUUUACGGCUGUUUCCCGAUGCAGAGGAAGACUUGGCUCCACUGUGCUUUUGAUGACAACGAGGAAUGGACAAUAAGAAAUCACUGACAUUGCAUUAAAACAACUGCAGUUUAUUGAUUUAUGAACUACAGAUUUAACAAUGCCAGCUACAUCUCUGUUCUAGAGAAAUGCAUUUUUUGCACUAUCACAAGCAGAUCUGCAGAAUCCUCAAAUGAUACGGUUUCAUUUUGGCAACAACAGUAGCCAGAGGAAGAAAAUGAUUCCGAGGAAAAUGUGAAGAGGUCACUGACUGGGAAGAAGAGUCAGUGGCUACGUCGUUACAACAUGUGCUGCUAUUUGUGGGAUUUACGAUUCUCAGGGUUGUAGAUCACAGAAGAUAAAUCUGGUCUCUUAACUAUGCUGAUGUUUAAAUAUUAAGGACCAUAUUUUUUUUAAAUGUAUUGAUUAACUGCAGUAAAAUCUGCUUAAAUUUUUAAGCCAGAGCAAUAUUAACCUAUUCUUCCUGUGAAAAUACUGUAUAGGCAAAUAUUGUGUGAUUACAGUUUGCAUACAGUAUCUUACUGCCUUGUUUCAAGGUAUAAAGUAUCACAUUCUUAAACACCAACCUUUCUUCUGAAAAGGGAUUUGUUAUUGUUUUGUGUAUGCCAUGUAUGCAUAUUUCAGUUUAUUCACUGUUUUUUUAAUUUAUCCAAAGUGGAUUGAAAUUUGUUUUUGUGUUUUUUUUUCACAUUUCAAGAAAAUAAACAUGCAAAGGAUGCAA